This 468-nucleotide ribosomal RNA is filed under the name uncultured bacterium. RNAcentral's name for it is "partial 16S ribosomal RNA". It matches the Rfam family "Bacterial small subunit ribosomal RNA", at positions 28 to 507 of the family's 1533-position model. The record is from RNAcentral.
GACGAACGCUGGCGGCGUGCUUAACACAUGCAAGUCGAACGGAAAGGCCCUGCUUUUGUGGGGUGCUCGAGUGGCGAACGGGUGAGUAACACGUGAGUAACCUGCCCUUGACUUUGGGAUAACUUCAGGAAACUGGGGCUAAUACCGGAUAGGAGCUCCUGCUGCAUGGGGUGGGUUGGAAAGUUUCGGCGGUUGUGGAUGGACUCGCGGCUUAUCAGCUUGUUGGUGGGGUAGUGGCUUACCAAGGCUUUGACGGGUAGCCGGCCUGAGAGGGUGACCGGCCACAUUGGGACUGAGAUACGGCGCAGACUCCUACGGGAGGCAGCAGUGGAGAAUAUUGCACAAUGGGCGGAAGCCUGAUGCAGCAACGCCGCGUGCGGGAUGACGGCCUUCGGGUUGUAAACCGCUUUCGCCUGUGACGAAGCGUGAGUGACGGUAAUGGGUAAAGAAGCACCGGCUAACUACGUG